GCACUCUUAGCUCAAUGGAAGAGCAGCGACCUUCUAAGUCGCAGGUUACAGGUUCAAAUCCUGUAGGGUGUA
This 72-nucleotide transfer RNA is filed under the name Candidatus Nardonella dryophthoridicola. RNAcentral's name for it is "tRNA-Arg". It matches the Rfam family "tRNA". From Rfam's summary of the family: Transfer RNA (tRNA) molecules are approximately 80 nucleotides in length. RNAcentral also lists the same sequence under 1 other name. Lineage: Bacteria; Pseudomonadati; Pseudomonadota; Gammaproteobacteria. The record is from RNAcentral.